RNAcentral lists this ribosomal RNA (497 nucleotides) under uncultured bacterium. Its description in RNAcentral is "partial 16S ribosomal RNA". It matches the Rfam family "Bacterial small subunit ribosomal RNA", at positions 36 to 507 of the family's 1533-position model. The record is from RNAcentral.
UCUUCCCUCUUUCUUCGUGCCUAAUACAUGCAAGUCGAGCGAACAGACGAGGAGCUUGCUCCUUUGACGUUAGCGGCGGACGGGUGAGUAACACGUAGGUAACCUACCUAUAAGACUGGGAUAACUUCGGGAAACCGGAGCUAAUACCGGAUAAUAUUUCGAACCGCAUGGUUCGAUAGUGAAAGAUGGCUUUGCUAUCACUUAUAGAUGGACCUGCGCCGUAUUAGCUAGUUGGUAAGGUAACGGCUUACCAAGGCAACGAUACGUAGCCGACCUGAGAGGGUGAUCGGCCACACUGGAACUGAGACACGGUCCAGACUCCUACGGGAGGCAGCAGUAGGGAAUCUUCCGCAAUGGGCGAAAGCCUGACGGAGCAACGCCGCGUGAGUGAUGAAGGUCUUCGGAUCGUAAAACUCUGUUAUUAGGGAAGAACAAACGUGUAAGUAACUGUGCACGUCUUGACGGUACCUAAUCAGAAAGCCACGGCUAACUACGUG